Molecule: transfer RNA, 88 nt
Filed under: Marsilea mutica
Lineage: Eukaryota; Viridiplantae; Streptophyta; Polypodiopsida; Salviniales; Marsileaceae
Also listed under: 1 other name
Description: tRNA-Ser
Rfam family: tRNA
About the family: Transfer RNA (tRNA) molecules are approximately 80 nucleotides in length. Their secondary structure includes four short double-helical elements and three loops (D, anti-codon, and T loops).
Source: RNAcentral
GGAGAGAUGGCCGAGCGGUCUAACGCGUCGGAUUGCUAAUCCGUUGUACAAGUCAAUUGUACCGAGGGUUCGAAUCCCUCUCUCUCCU